RNAcentral lists this ribosomal RNA (425 nucleotides) under uncultured bacterium. RNAcentral's name for it is "bacterial SSU rRNA". It matches the Rfam family "Bacterial small subunit ribosomal RNA", at positions 354 to 796 of the family's 1533-position model. The record is from RNAcentral.
GUGGGGAAUCUUAGACAAUGGGGGCAACCCUGAUCUAGCCAUGCCGCGUGAGUGAUGAAGGCCUUAGGGUCGUAAAGCUCUUUCGCUGGGGAAGAUAAUGACGGUACCCAGUAAAGAAACCCCGGCUAACUCCGUGCCAGCAGCCGCGGUAAUACGGAGGGGGUUAGCGUUGUUCGGAAUUACUGGGCGUAAAGCGCGCGUAGGCGGAUUGGAAAGUUGGGGGUGAAAUCCCGGGGAUCAACCCUGGAAUGGCCUUCAAAACUCCCAGUCUUGAGGUCGAGAGAGGUGAGUGGAAUUCCGAGUGUAGAGGUGAAAUUCGUAGAUAUUCGGAGGAACACCAGUGGCGAAGGCGGCUCACUGGCUCGAUACUGACGCUGAGGUGCGAAAGCGUGGGGAGCAAACAGGAUUAGAAACCCGGGUAGUCC